AAUAAACCAACUUUUCACUUUUUAUCUACGAUUUUUGACUCUUCGUCUUAUUCAAAUUUUCUUUGCGAUUGAUAUUUUUGUUUUUAUUAGAUGAUAAAUCAUGAAUAGUAUUGUACAUGUGACUAUUUUUUUUCUAAUUUUCUAAAAAACUUUCAAAUAAGACGAAUGGUCAAACGUUGGACACAAAAAUAGGAGAAUUGAUA
RNAcentral lists this microRNA precursor (203 nucleotides) under Oryza brachyantha (malo sina). RNAcentral's name for it is "MIR812 microRNA precursor family". It matches the Rfam family "MIR812 microRNA precursor family". The record is from Rfam by way of RNAcentral. Lineage: Eukaryota; Viridiplantae; Streptophyta; Magnoliopsida; Poales; Poaceae.